GUCCACGCCCUAAACGUUGAUUACUCGUUGUUGGCGAUAUACAGUCAGCGACUAAGCUAAAGCGUUAAGUAAUCCACCUGGGAAGUACGACCGCAAGGUUGAAACUCAAAGGAAUUGACGGGGGCCCGCACAAGCGGAGGAGCAUGUGGUUUAAUUCGAUGAUACGCGAGGAACCUUACCUGGGCUUGAAGUUAGUGACCGCCUCUGAAAGGAGGCUUCUAUUCGGAGCACAAAACUAGGUGCUGCAUGGCUGUCGU
This 257-nucleotide ribosomal RNA is filed under the name uncultured bacterium. RNAcentral's name for it is "partial 16S ribosomal RNA". It matches the Rfam family "Bacterial small subunit ribosomal RNA", at positions 793 to 1055 of the family's 1533-position model. The record is from RNAcentral.